RNAcentral lists this ribosomal RNA (438 nucleotides) under Triticum aestivum (bread wheat). Its description in RNAcentral is "partial small subunit ribosomal RNA". Lineage: Eukaryota; Viridiplantae; Streptophyta; Magnoliopsida; Poales; Poaceae. The record is from RNAcentral.
AUGUUCUCGAUUGUGAUGCCCAAGCCUGUCUGCCGCAAUUGUGUGUUCGUUACUGCUGAGAAAAAGGACUCACGGGUGGACAUCUGCUAUAAAUUACCUAGGCCUGGUCAUCUGCGUGAGUUGCAUCUGUCAUUUUUCUUCCCAGGAGAGGCCAGGCUGUGGCAGCCGCGGUCGUGGCGUCAUGCACGUGGCAUCGACGCAGGUGAGAAUACAUCUAUGGUAGUCUCGUGGGCCGAGCGUCAAGGUGAUGGUAGCCGACCCUCCACGCCCCCUCUAGGGAUGGGAAGUGGCGGGCAGAGUACCUCCCCCGCGCAUGUCAGAGUUGCAAACACUUUCAAUUUCAACUGUGUGGUGAUCAGGACAUUCUGUGUUGCUUGGACAACCGAGCUAAGACGGCGAUGCCACCACCUACUUGUAUCUGUACAGGACCUCCGAUGA